GGGGAUCUAGCUCAGUGGUAGAGCGCUUGCCUAGCAAGCACAAGGCCCUGGGUUUAGUCCCCAGCUCCG
This 69-nucleotide transfer RNA is filed under the name Rattus norvegicus (Norway rat). It matches the Rfam family "tRNA". From Rfam's summary of the family: Transfer RNA (tRNA) molecules are approximately 80 nucleotides in length. Lineage: Eukaryota; Metazoa; Chordata; Mammalia; Rodentia; Muridae. The record is from Rfam by way of RNAcentral.